GUCGGAGUGGCGGAACUGGCAGACGCGCUAGGUUGAGGGCCUAGUGGGCUUUACGGCCCGUGGAGGUUCAAGUCCUCUCUCCGACACCA
This 89-nucleotide transfer RNA is filed under the name Acidimicrobiia bacterium. Its description in RNAcentral is "tRNA-Leu". It matches the Rfam family "tRNA". Rfam says of the family: Transfer RNA (tRNA) molecules are approximately 80 nucleotides in length. Their secondary structure includes four short double-helical elements and three loops (D, anti-codon, and T loops). Lineage: Bacteria; Bacillati; Actinomycetota; Acidimicrobiia. The record is from RNAcentral.